GACGAACGCUGGCGGCGUGCUUAACACAUGCAAGUCGAACGGAAAGGCCCUGCUUUUGUGGGGUGCUCGAGUUGCGAACGGGUGAGUAACACUUAAGUAACCUGCCCUUGACUUUGGGAUAACUUAAGGAAACUUGGUCUAAUACCGGAUAGGAGCUCCUGCUGUUUGGUGGGGGUUGGAAAGUUUCGGCGGUUGGGGAUGUACUCGCGGCUUAUCGGCUUGUUGGUGGGGUAGUGGCUUACCAAGGCUUUGACGGGUAGCCGGCCUGAGAGGGUGACCGGCCACAUUGGGACGGAGAUACGGCCCAGACUCCUACGGGAGGCAGGAGUGGGGAAUAUUGCACAAUGGGCGGAAGCCUGAUGCAGCAACGCCGCGUGCGGGAUGACGGCAUUCGGGUUGUAAACAGCUUUCGCCUGUGACGAAGCGUGAGUGACGGUAAUGGGUAAAGAAGCACCGGCUAACUACGU
Molecule: ribosomal RNA, 467 nt
Filed under: uncultured bacterium
Lineage: Bacteria
Description: partial 16S ribosomal RNA
Rfam family: Bacterial small subunit ribosomal RNA
Source: RNAcentral